GACGAACGCUGGCGGCGUGCUUAACACAUGCAAGUCGAACGGAACGGCCCUGCUUUUGUGGGGUGCUCGAGUGGCGAACGGGUGAGUAACACGUGAGUAACCUGCCCUUUACUUUGGGAUAACUUCAGUAAACUGGGGCUAAUACCUGCUAGGUGCUCCUGCUGCAUGGUGGGGGUUGGACAGUUUCGGCGGUUGGGGAUGGACUCGCGGGUUAUCAGCUUGUUGGUGGGGUAGUGGCUUACCACGGCUUUGACGGGUAGUCGGCCUGAGAGGGUGACCGGCGACAAGGGGACUGAGAGACGGCGCAGAGUGGUACGGGAGGCAGCAGUGGGGAAUAUGGCACAGUGGGCGGAAGCCGGAUGCAGAAACGCCGCGUGCGGGAUGACGGCCUUCGGGUUGUAAACCGCUGUCGCCUGUGACGAAGCGGGAGUGACGGUAAUGGGUAAAGAAGCACCGGCUAACUACGUG
Molecule: ribosomal RNA, 468 nt
Filed under: uncultured bacterium
Lineage: Bacteria
Description: partial 16S ribosomal RNA
Rfam family: Bacterial small subunit ribosomal RNA
Source: RNAcentral